Molecule: non-coding RNA, 209 nt
Organism: Vicia faba (fava bean)
Lineage: Eukaryota; Viridiplantae; Streptophyta; Magnoliopsida; Fabales; Fabaceae
Source: the annotation of a GenBank genome assembly
CCUCAUCGACGGCGCAGCGAUUCCACCUUCUCAACCCUUAUCGCUUUGCGAUUUUGCUUCAUCCUCUUCUCCGAUCUUGCUUCAUCUUUGUUCCACUCUCGACGCCGUUCAUUAUGUUCCAUUUCAAAUCAAUCGCAGCCAUCACCAACAUCGACCUUCCGUUCCUGAUUCAUCUCCGUCCUCAACCUCAUUCAUCACCUCUGAAUUGA